GUGAGGAAUAUUGCGCAAUGGAGGCAACUCUGACGCAGCCAUGCCGCGUGCAGGAAGAAGGCGCUACGCGUUGUAAACUGCUUUUAACCGGGAAGAAACCCCAGGACGUGUCCUGGGUUGACGGUACCGGAGGAAUAAGCACCGGCUAACUUCGUGCCAGCAGCCGCGGUAAUACGAAGGGUGCAAGCGUUAUCCGGAUUCAUUGGGUUUAAAGGGUGCGUAGGCGGAGCGUUAAGUCAGUGGUGAAAUCCUGCAGCUUAACUGUAGACUUGCCAUUGAUACUGGCGCUCUUGAGUGCGCUUGAAGUGGGCGGGAUGUGCCGUGUAGCGGUGAAAUGCUUAGAUAUGGCACAGAACACCAAUUGCGAAGGCAGCUCACUAAGGCGAUACUGACGCUGAGGCACGAAAGCGUGGGGAUCGAACAGGAUUAGAAACCCCGGUAGUCC
This 445-nucleotide ribosomal RNA is filed under the name uncultured bacterium. RNAcentral's name for it is "bacterial SSU rRNA". It matches the Rfam family "Bacterial small subunit ribosomal RNA", at positions 354 to 796 of the family's 1533-position model. The record is from RNAcentral.